Molecule: non-coding RNA, 2379 nt
Organism: Coturnix japonica (Japanese quail)
Lineage: Eukaryota; Metazoa; Chordata; Aves; Galliformes; Phasianidae
Source: RefSeq, a predicted model, not a curated record
ACAUCAUAGAAGGCUGUAUUAUGAUCAUCUACAUCACCUCUAUCAACACCAUGCUGCUAAACUGUGUGUGUAUUUGCAGAUUAGAGCUGUUUUCUGUAUUCUAAGGAAUAAACCUGCCUGAAUACAGAGUGAAAUGAAGAUCAGCUUAUCCUUUUAAAAAGGAUUCAGUGAUGGCAACUUCUCAGCUCCCCCAGAAACACUGGAAUGAAACAGCAGGCUUUCUUGAGAAAGGACGAAAUCAUGUAAACAAAGCAUCAAAAACCUCACCAGGAAGCAUUAAACUUCUGAAAACUAGAAAGAAAUUAACUGUAAUUGCCAGCCUACUGGGGAGGUUAUUAUCAGAGCCUCUUAAAUACUGCCUGUACUUUUGCAAGAAAACACACUUUUUUCCCUUUGGAGAUUAAGUCUGCAGAAGUGGCCACCUAUGCCUGUGCUUAUCUACUUCUGGAGAAUUCCUGUAGUCAGGUAUUAUACAGAGAGAUAAACUAUAGCAUUGAUUGCAGUUUAACUCAAUAUAUGAUAUGUGUAAGCACCAACAACUUGUGGCAUGACAGACACAGACCAUGGACAACGUGGUGCCGUGCUAAGCCAGGGGCUUGCUGCCUUGUGAGAUGCAACUUCUUGUGUAAAGGCUGCUGGAUGCAAGUAUGCUUCUGCUGCAGCUUAGGGCUGCUGCCACAUCACUGUGAUAGUGAAGUCCCACAUGCUGGACAUUCGCACAUUCUUUGAGAACUACUACUUCAGUUGUGCCAUGUAAACUUGAUGCUGUCACUUCCACGCUCUGGCUACAGACUCUCACCUUGUUUUUUAAGCUAAUCCAGCUUUCCUCAGACAUAUUCUAACACUCUGUGAAGUGCUGCUAUAAUUAUCCCAAGUACAGACCGAGAUUUCAGUGUUUCAGUUGCUUAUGCAUACUAUCUUUGGCAAAACUUGAUGCGCAUCCUUAAUCUGCUCCCUCCAGAAGGGUUUUGUUUUAUAUGGUCUUUCAAGAAAGAGUCGAGUACUGAAACACAGCAAGUGAUAAACUGCUCUGGGUGUAUGCCUAAAUAAAAUAAUGAGCUACAUUGGCUCAGAUGAUGCUAAUGGUGGGUACAGAUCAUUAAAUUUACCAAUAGUCUGAUCAUAGCCAUAUAAAGGUAAUUGUCAAAAUGCUUUUCUGUUGCAUUUCUAAGGCUGCAUAAAGGUAAUUCUGUAACAAUUUCAAUUGCACAGAACUGUAGUUUCAUUUUGAGAUUACAUUUUCUUCUCAAUUCGUGAAAAUUUAAAUGAGGUUCCAUUCAUUUUCCUUUUUCUCUUCUGUAGAUUUGAAAACUCAUUUCGCCAUUGCCAGUUCCUUAAUGUUAGUUUUCUCCCCAUACAUGUGGUGCUGCUAUUACACUUGUUCGCAGGUACUUUAACAGAUGGAUUAAAGCAGGUGGACGAGCUUUCUCUCUUUCUUUCCACCCCCUUAGUCUCUAAAUAAGGAUAAGUUUCUUGCAUGUAGUGAACUCUGUGUACUUUGUAUGGGGAAAAGAAAUCAAAUUCUUUCAUAAAAUAAUUAUUUAGCAGGAAUUAGUAAUUUCUACCUGAAAAAAAUUAAGGUUCUAAACAUCUGAAAUAGAAGUUGACUUGGAAAAUUUAUAAAUCAAUAUAGGAUGUGUUUUUCUUCCACGGAACAAUAGAAAACAAUUGAAAUUUUUAAGAAACACUUCAUCAACUUUUAGUAUUGCCAGCACAUUUCAAAACUUGACACUAUAUUUAUUCCACUUAAAAAUACUGCUAACCUAAAGCUGUGCAAAAACCUCAUACUUUUGUUGCCCGUAAAUUCAGGCAUAUACCACUGAAGUGCUCCUGUUUCACUCCAUAGAGAGAAGUAGUAAAGCCAGCAACAUCCUUCAUCCAAGGCACUUCAGGCACUAGUGGACAGCUGUGCAUGUAAGGUACAUUUUCAAAUAUCUCAGCUGCUUUUUUUCACUGAAUGCAUCAUAUUCCAAGCAGAAACAGAUGUGACUGAUUUUCUGCUCCAGCCAGUCAAAAGCAUUUUGUAUGGCAAAGCCUGGGAUGAAGCUGCAGGAAGCUGAGCAUUGUCACAUUGCCAGAGGCUGCCUUUUCAACUACUGGGAAAAAAAGCAGCUGGGAUGAGCCACUUCCAUAUCUGCUUAAGGGAAACAGCAGUGUAAGCAAAAAAUUUAAGUAGAGGCUAAAGAUUGAUACAAUUGAGUUGGUUUUGUUGUUGUUAUUUGCUUGUUUUAGCAAAGUUCUGCAAAAGAAAAUGGAAAAAGAUGUCAUAACAGGUGAUAACAAAGGGUUUUGGGAAGGGCCCUGUCUAGAGGGGCUUGAAAUGAAACAGACCUUUCUCAGUCCGUGCUCCUUGUGAAGAAAAAAGGCGUUUAUUUAUUU